This 226-nucleotide ribosomal RNA is filed under the name uncultured bacterium. RNAcentral's name for it is "partial 16S ribosomal RNA". It matches the Rfam family "Bacterial small subunit ribosomal RNA", at positions 524 to 749 of the family's 1533-position model. The record is from RNAcentral.
UACGUAGGGGGCGAGCGUUGUCCGGAAUUACUGGGCGUAAAGCGCGCGUAGGCGGACCUGCAAGUCGGGGGUGAAAGCCCGAGGCUCAACCUCGGAACUGCCUUCGAUACUGCGGGUCUCGAGUCCGGGAGAGGUGAGUGGAAUUCCUAGUGUAGAGGUGAAAUUCGUAGAUAUUAGGAAGAACACCAGUGGCGAAGGCGGCUCACUGGCCCGGUACUGACGCUGA